GGGCCCGCACAAGCGGUGGAGCAUGUGGUUUAAUUCGAUGCAACGCGAAGAACCUUACCUACUCUUGACAUCCAGAGAACUUUCCAGAGAUGGAUUGGUGCCUUCGGGAACUCUGAGACAGGUGCUGCAUGGCUGUCGUCAGCUCGUGUUGUGAAAUGUUGGGUUAAGUCCCGCAACGAGCGCAACCCUCGUCCUAUGUUGCCAGCACGUAAUGGUGGGAACUCAUGGGAUACUGCCGGGGUCAACUCGGAGGAAGGUGGGGAUGACGUCAAAUCAUCAUGCCCCUUAUGUCUUGGGCUUCACGCAUGCUACAAUGGCCGGUACAGAGGGCUGCAAUACCGCAAGGUGGAGCGAAUCCCAAAAAGCCGGUCUCAGUUCGGAUUGAGGUCUGCAACUCGACCUCAUG
This 406-nucleotide ribosomal RNA is filed under the name uncultured bacterium. RNAcentral's name for it is "bacterial SSU rRNA". It matches the Rfam family "Bacterial small subunit ribosomal RNA", at positions 917 to 1322 of the family's 1533-position model. The record is from RNAcentral.